This is a non-coding RNA of Lepisosteus oculatus (spotted gar), 541 nucleotides long. The record is from RefSeq and is a predicted model, not a curated record. Lineage: Eukaryota; Metazoa; Chordata; Actinopteri; Semionotiformes; Lepisosteidae.
GCGGCGUCGGCGGCCUCAGUGGUGUCAGCGGCUGUUUCUGGGUCGGCCUGCACCUGCCGAAUUCCUCGACCGCUCAGAGCUGAGCGCGCUCGUCUGGGCUGCAGAAGGGACGGUCACGCCCGGCUCUCGGAGCUGUCUGUGGCCGUCCGGGCCUGCUCCGAGCAGCUCCUGUUGCUGCCUGCGGGAGAAACUCCUUGUCUCCGGUAGCCAGACUGGUGUUUAUUGCCUUGUGCCUGUUCCUGGGGGAUCUGGGGUUUGUGGAACCUUGUGGAAAGAGAAACUGUAAACAGCGCUUCAGCUCGGAAAGAGAAAAACCCUCAUUCACCAUGAGGAUACAGACUGUCCGGAAACCUCAUGGAUGUCUUCUGGACGAAGCCACUUAAAUCCCUUGUUUGGCUGGAAAAGAAUCGAGGGGAACACCUUUCUGAGAUCGUACUGGGAUGAUCAGGGCAGGUGCAGGCUGGGACUGCGUAUAUAAACCCAUGCGUUAUGUGAUAUUCUGACAGAGCUAAAACGGUUUCUCUUUCGGAAACACAAGAUG